This 389-nucleotide ribosomal RNA is filed under the name Dinophyceae sp. Its description in RNAcentral is "partial small subunit ribosomal RNA". It matches the Rfam family "Eukaryotic small subunit ribosomal RNA", at positions 582 to 975 of the family's 1831-position model. Lineage: Eukaryota; Dinophyceae. The record is from RNAcentral.
AUUCCAGCUCCAAUAGCGUAUAUUAAAGUUGUUGCGGUUAAAAAGCUCGUAGUUGGAUUUCUGCUGAGGACGACUGGUCCGCCCCCUGGGUGAGCAUCUGGUUCGGCCUGGGCAUCUUCUUGGGGAACGUAUCUGCACUUGAUUGUGUGGUGCGGUAUCCAGGACUUUUACUUUGAGGAAAUUAGAGUGUUUCAAGCAGGCCCGCGCCUUGAAUACAUUAGCAUGGAAUAAUAAGAUAGGACCUCGGUUCUAUUUUGUUGGUUUCUAGAGCUGAGGUAAUGAUUAAUAGGGAUAGUUGGGGGUGCUAAUAUUGAGCGGCCAGAGGUGAAAUUCUUGGAUUCGCUCAAGACUAACUUAUGCGAAAGCAUUCACCAAGGAUGUCUUCAUCG